Long non-coding RNA from Bradysia coprophila, 212 nucleotides. NCBI's taxonomy places the organism in Eukaryota, Metazoa, Arthropoda, Insecta, Diptera, Sciaridae. The record is from RefSeq and is a predicted model, not a curated record.
GCAUAAAAUGAUUGUAAAAGAAUAAGAGAUUCUAUAAAAUUAUUAAAAGAAUUUCGAAAAUGAACGUUAGAGACACAAUUUGUGUUUGUAGAGAACACCAACUGACAAGAAAUUUAAAAUUUUGACACUGAGAUGUUCACAAAUGUCCUCCAUUCCAUUUUUCUCAAAUAACUUUGGCUUUUUAUUGUAAAAAUUUCUAAAAUUCGCCGCAA